RNAcentral lists this long non-coding RNA (12586 nucleotides) under Lathyrus oleraceus (garden pea). Its description in RNAcentral is "Pisum sativum (pea) long non-coding RNA (PSAT_LNC003378)". Lineage: Eukaryota; Viridiplantae; Streptophyta; Magnoliopsida; Fabales; Fabaceae. The record is from RNAcentral.
GCAAUUUAUGUUGUAAACAAUUACAGAAUACCCUUUACCACACAAUUGAUUAAUGCUAAGGAGGUUAUGUCUAAGCCUUUUGACAAAUAAAACACCAUAUAUGGCGAUUGUUGAGGGAUUUUCAACAACACCUUCACCUAAGAUCUUAUCUUUGUUGUUAUCUUCAUAUGUGAUGUAGCCUCGCUCUUUAUUGACAAAGUCAAUGAAUAUUGACGUGUUUCCCGUGAUAUGCCUUAAACAAAUACUAUUCAGGAACCACAUCCUAGUUGCAAUGGCAAGAUAUUCAAACAAGAAGACCAAUAAGGUAAAUUAGGUACACAACUUGUGUUGUGUCAUUGGGGGUUAGUACUAGGACUCAAUAUACAUGUAUUGAGACCAUUUGAAAAUUUUACAUUACUAAUGUGAUAUUAAGGCCCCAUAUGUCCCUUUUCACCAUAAUAAGGGAAAACAACUUUAUGAGAUAUAUUCUUUCUAUUCUUCCUAGUGACAUGAGCAUAUUUAUUAUUUAAAUUCUAAAACUUUACUCGUCUUCAUGUAUUUAUUAAAAUCCCUCAAGUUUGAAAAUAUUUUUAUUUUAAGAAGAGAUUUUUUAAAAAUAAUUUAAGGCUUCAACAUGCAUUUCAUGAAAAACUCCAAACAACUCAUUAUAAGAAGGUAAAAAGCGUGUAUCAGAAUCACUUAUUUCCGAAUCUCUUUAUUUAUGUCACGCCGUCAAAAAAAUAUUAGGUAAUUAUUCAUUUGUGCUUGAAUUAGAAGAUGGAGAAUAUUCAUAUUCUUCAUAAGUAUGGACAAUCUUCAUUUGGACUUGAAUUUGCGCUUCGUCAAGCUUGAAUAAUCAUUUUUAUAGUGUCCGAGUUUACCACAUUCAAAGCAUGUUACAUUCUUUUCUUCCUUAUUUUUAUCAUCCCACUUAUUGGAUGGAUUGGACUUUAUGAGCUUUAUCAUGUUCUAGUCUAAAUGUUUGAGAUUGUUCCUCCUUAUGUGUUUACUGUAGCGUCUCACAAAUAGUCCCAUCUCUUCAUAUUUUGAAGAUUCGUUACUCAAGUCAUCUUCAAUGUCCUAUACCUUAGCCUUGGAAGUUGAGGCCUUCAAGGAUAUGUUUUUUCUCAUCUUUAUUCCUUUCUUUUUGCUUUGCAAUUAUUUUACUCGCUUCAAGACUUUUUAACUUAUGCCCAUGUUCAGUGAGCUUUCCAAAGAGUGUUGACAUAUCUAGAGUCUUUACAUCAUGUGAUUAUUUAAUAAUAAUUAAUUUAGUCUGCCAUUCCAUGCCUAUAGAUCUCGUAAUUUUAUUAGCACAAUCAUGAUUAAAUGUAGUUUUUUUUACAUAAAUUCUUUAGUUUGUUGAUUAUAUGGGAAAACCUCAUCUGCAUGGAGGCCGCAAAUUCACCGAGCUCCAUGCAGAAAAAUUUACAUUCUUCUCUCAAUUUGUUGAUUUUAGAUUGCUUGAAGUCUUUAGUUCCUUCACGGAGAACUUGAAGAGUGUCCCACAUUUCCUUAGUCGUCUUACAAUGUGAUAUUGAGAAAUACACAUUCAAACUCAAAGAAGAGAUAAGUAUAUUUUUAUCAUUGUCAAACUAUAAUACAUUUGCUUAAUCUCAUUGUCAUUCCAUUCCUAUGGUUGUUUCUUAAUAGAUACACCACCAAUGAUAUUUUGAGGAACAAAAUUUCCUUCUUCUAUGGCAAGCCAUAAUCAUAAGGUGUACGUACAUGGAAUCCUUCUAAUAUGCGUAACCUUCAAUAGUAAAAGGGGAUCUCCAUUAUGCAUUCCCUUCAUAUUAAUUUACACUAUAUUCAAUAACUUUAGGGGUUGUUAAACAUUAUCAAAAGAACCAAUCUUGAUGCCAAUUUUUAGUUGAAUAUGGUGGCCAAAGGUCUAAAAGGAGGGGUUGAAUAGACUGUUAACACAACUUCAAGCUUUAUCGGCGUAAAUUGUUGUCUCAACUCUAGUUCAAACAAAUGUUAAUCUAGACAAGGCAUUACAAUGUGAUUUUGGUGGUGAAGGUCACACCAAUGGCUAUUGUGUAUCAUUCUUUGAAGAAGCGCAUUAUUCAAGAAAUUAUCAAGAUCCAGAUUCUUACCUCAACACCUAUAAUCCAUGGUGGGAUGAUCAUUCAAGUCUUAACUAAAAUAACAAUUAAUUUCAAAAUUUUAACAAAGAAGUUCCUCAAGAUCCACCACCAAUGACGUCAUCCCUUCUAGAGGAGACUUUGAAAAAGUUUAUGAAGUUUACUCAAAGGAACUUUGUAGAAAUUAAGAUCACUCAAGAAAUACCUGAAAGGAAGCCAUCUCUUCUAUAAGAGACUGUGAAUUAAUUCACAUUGACUCAAAGCAACUUGGAAGCAAGACAUUCACAAAUUGAAGCAUUAUGUAAGAACCUUGAAGCAUCCAACAAGAAUAUUGAAGCAUCCAAUAAGAACAUUAAAUCAUCCAUGAAGAAUAUUAAAUAUCACAUUGGGAAGUUAUGUAAACAAGUGGCAACUCAAUCGAUUGGGGUUUUUAACGGGAAUAUGUUAGAUAGUUCUAGGAAUGCUAAAGUUGAGAGAGAAGUCAAAGAUGAAUGGGAAGUACUUGAUGAAGAGGAGUUGAAAACGGAAAAGAAGAAUAAAAAUACAUGCCAAAGAUAACAUUGAAUCAAGAAUAGAAAAAGUUGAGGCGGAAAAUAGAUUUGGAAAAAGAGCAAGAAUGGUAAGAAAAGAUGAUCUAGUUUUGGAUUCAAUGAUUUGCCUAGAUGCAGGUAUCCAACAAGAAAAUCUUCAACAAAAUAAUGUUCCUAAAAGAUAUAGUAGCAACAAGGAAGAUGGAAUAGAAUAAAUAAAUAAAGUAUUAGAUUCCAUUUAUGCCUUGUUUGUUACUAUCAAGCUGAAGAAGAUAUGGAAGCAACAUCAUUAUUACCUCAAGUUCAUGAGAGCACUACCAAACAAAAGAAAUAAGAAAGAUAAUGUGUUUUUUUAUGUGUCAUAUAUGCUGCCAUAACAGAGAAGUAAAUGGCCAAGAUAAGGACCUUAGAUAAGCGUUGUGUGGGAGACAACCUACAAAUCAGUGUUAUUUAGCUUUAUUUUAUUUUCAUGUUUUAGUUUAUUUUCAAUUUAUUUCCCUUUAGGUACUAUGAUCCCAGGGAGAGCAAUAACUGCUCUCAAGAAUGUUCUCCCUUUGGUACUUUUCUUUGCUUUGAAUUAAUAAAUCAGCUUGCUUUUGUUAUUUCUUUCAGUUUUGAUUUGAUACCUUACGAGUGCCAUUAUGAAAAAUAAAAGAAAAAAUCACUAGAAAAAGAAAGAAUAAAGUGAUCAUCAUGGAAGUUCCCUUGCAGAUUGACAUUUAAUGCAGAAAAGAGAAGUCAACUACUUGUACUCAAUCUCCAAAUACCUCAGCUAGUAAGGUUUGAGCAGAAAAUUUCCAUGUCUCACUUUUAUUUCUUAUAAGAGUAUACGUACAUUAGUUAUUUUCUAGAAUUUUCAUUGAUUCUACUUAGUCUAUUGGUCUGAUGAAUGCACACUGAGCCAGUUGUUUGUGAAAACUCUGAGCCUUUUAAGUUAACCUAUUUUAAUAUGAUUAUAUCCUUUGCUAUCCACUUUGAGCUUUAGCCAUUCUUUCAGCGACAUAACAUGUUAUAUAGCCAUUUGACUUGAAAGAUUAAAUCUUUCCAUCCUCUUUGGAGUUAGGUAGAAAUAUUUGUUUUACUUUCCUAAUGCAAAAGAAUAAGUUUGAGAUUGCUCUUGAAAAUUAACAACAUUUAAGUUUGGGGUUGAGGUACUAGAGAGAUUGGUCAAAAACAAAGAACAAGAAAAAGAAAAAGAAAAAGAAAAAGAAAAACAAGAAGUUAAAAGUGACUUCUUCAAAAAAAAUUGAAAAAGAAAAAGAAAUAUAUGACCAAAAAAUGAAUUCUCUAGUACCAAAUGAUCAAUAAAAGAGUGAUAUAAAAGGAAUCAUAUAACAACGGAAAAAAUAGGUACCUAGCUCCAAGGGUUUAAGGCUACUGUCCCAAAUUACCCUAUCUUGACAUAAGUCAUGUUACAACCUUGAAAAGACCUUAAAAAUGUGUGUUUGAAUAUGACUUUGAUAUAUUCAGUUAGAAACUUUACAAACUCGUUGUUAAAGUCUUUUGUACGUUGAUUAUGUGAUUAUCCUGUAAAAUUGAGUGCAUAUAUAUGAGAUCAGAGACAAGUUGAGUACUUGUAUGUCCGGAAGAACUUUUUUGAGUUACUUGGAUUUAAGAAUGGAAUGAUACUGUUGAUCAGUAAAAUAAGAAAUGUGACAUUCAUUGAUAAGAGUAAGCAUUUUAAUUAUAAUGAAAUGUUCAAUGUCCAGACAUGUUACUUGAGCACAAGCAAGAGAGUAAGUUUGGGUUGGGUAGAGACCAAACUUUUGUCACUCUCACCGAUGGACUCAGUUUCUUUAUCUCUUUGUUCAGACUGAAACAUGAAUAAAUAUGAGUAUAAUAAAAGAAUAAAGGAAGGAUCAUAUAUAGUCGUGGAAGAAAACUUUUAAAUGUCCCUCUAAGGAAUUGGACAAGUGGCAUUUCAAUUUUGACAGUUGGCGUUUUUAUUUUUUGGGUAAAAGUAAAUUAAAUGAUUUUCUUUUAAUGUUAGUUAAUCUUUUGGCCCUCGAUGGCCUAGAUAAAUAAAGUCAUGAUGGCUGAGUGCACACAGGUUCAUUGACUUGACGAUUUGGUGAAAGUGAUCAUGAUGGUGGUGAUUUAUGUAGACUACUAUGAACAUUGUUGAGGUGUUACUAAAAAUGCCAUAUUUCUUCCAUUUUAUGAAUAUGGUUGAAAGUGACAUUUUUGGGGGUAUCUGUUAGCUUGGGAAUCUUAGUCUAGUAAUUUCUGACAUUAAAGUGUGAUACAAAGGCAUGAGAUUUUUAAGUAUAAAACUACUUAGCUUCGGUAUUCGAUACAUUGAUUUCUUUGAAUAUGGUGGUGAGUUCCCCUCGCCUACCAAGUGUUUCUAGGACUUAAAGUUUUCUUGUGUUCGGGAAUUAGACAACUUGGAAACCCAAAGGUUGGUUGGAGGAAUCUCAGGAACAAAUUCACAAGAUUAAGAUUACUCUUUCUUUAAAACAUGUCUAGAAUCUUGAAAAAGUUUGCAGUGAUUUAACAUAUUCGACAAGAAUGGAAGCAAUAAAUACAUAAGUUAAAAUACAAGCAAUUCAAUCAUGUUUUAACACCAUACUACAGAGUUCGACAGAGAAACUCCCGGACAAGGGUAGUUAGAGGUUGUGAAGACGGUUUUCCGUGAUGAGAUAAAUUUAUAGGAGGUUUUCAAAGACCAACGGGUGGAAGUAUAUUAGGAAAUAGAAGUCCACGUAGUGGGGUACAUGUCGAGUUCUAGGGUGGUGACCUUUAUCGACGGUUAGGAAAAUGUAAAAUAUAAGCAAAUUUCAUUCAUGUAAGAGUGGUUCGCAAAUUUUAUCACUAUUCCCUAUAGAACUCGAGUAUCAAAGUCACAAAGAGAAAAUAGUAUGUAAGGAAACAUGUAUGUUUGUGUCCCUAUUCUAAGUUUUUAAUCCAAGAACUUUAUUUAAUCGCUUUUAGUGUUUUUCCUUUGUUUAUUUUACAUCGUCGAACAAAUUUGUAUUGUUCAUAUUGGAAUUCUGGUCCAAUUUCAUUACAUUCAAACAUCAAAUACUAAGCACAAACAUACUUUCUCAAAUCUUUUACAUAAAAUGUCCAACAUAUUUUUUGAGUUUAAUCCCUUAAAUAAACGGAAACUUGUGAUUUGAUUCACUAAAAAUACCAGAAAAAAAUUGGCACGCCCAAUGGGACACCUUUGUGCGAAAUUUAAAUUUUAGCAGAAGAGUGUUUUACGUUCUUAUUGUUUGUUUUGUUCUUCAUGCAUGAAAUGUUUUCAAUGUAUGAAUAUGUGUGCGUAUGAGGAAUGGUGAAAAUCUUGUUGAAAUGGCACGUCCAAAAAAAAUACUCUCUUCCCCAAAAUGAUGCUCCAGAUACUGAAGAACAACCGAUCAAAACGGCAGUUGGUGGUGUAGGAACUUCAAUUUCCGUUGGAGUAACCGCUCCUGUUAUAUGCCAAACAUCAGUUUCAAUAACAUUACUAGAUGUGGUGGUCCCCCCACUACAAUUAAUGAGUAUUCCAAUCACCCUUAGGGUUACACAAACUGUUAUAUGAGACCUCGAGCCUUAUUUUCUUCCAAGUUUCAUGUUACUCCUGGUAGUAGGGAAUACCCCUGUGGGAUGCCAACUGCAAUGACGUUAGAUCUACAAGCUAGUUCAUCUACACAUACAGAUAAUGCAACAAUCAUUGCAUCUUCUCUUAAUCCAUAUUAAGCAUAAGGAUUUUCUAUAAGUAAUCCUAGUCGAAUGACGCAACCAUAAGAAAUAUUAGGAUAUACCCCUCAAGUUAUGCCACCCCUAACCACUAGUUCCCUCAUGUAUUUAGGAAAAAAUGUAUGAAAGCAACCAUGAGAUGGUCAAUAUGUUAACCCAAAAAAUUGGUAUUGUGUUUAAUCCUUUGAUCCAAAACACAAACUAGACUUACCAACAAUUGAUGCACCAAAUGGGUUGAAUUGUUGAUUUCUCUGGUUCUCCUCAAGCAUCUAUUCAUCCAACCCCUCAAGUCCAAGCAGUUUCUUGACAUGUUAGGGCAUAACUUAUGGCUCCUCAAGCAUUUAUUCAGCCAACCCCUCAAGUCCAAGCAGUUGGUGCUCCUCAAGCAUUUAUUCAUCCAAAAAUGGUUAGACCAAAUCGCAAAGAUGCUACACUAAAUGAAGAUGAUGAGAUGCUCACCGAUAACUUCGACUACGAGUUAGAAGAAAAAUUAGACAUAACCUGCAACGUAGUGUUUUUUUUUUGCCUAUAAAAUAUGUAAUUGAGGUGGUAGAAGAGGAAGAUGAGUAUCUUGCUAAGGAAAUGACAAGUUAUAAGCCUCUAUAAUACUAUGUUAUGAACAAUGGUUGCAUGGAGGAGGAAAAUGCCUCUUUUGAAAGGCUCGAUGAAGGUAUGAAACAACACUUGAAGCCCAUAUUUAUAAGGGCCAAAGUUGACGAAGUAGGUGGCAAUAAAGUGUUGGUCGGUGGAGGAGUGGCAAUGAAUUUGAUGCCAUAUUUCUUGUUAAAAAGAAUUGGAAUGUUUGAUACAGAUCUGAGACCCCAUAAUAUGGUUUUGUCCAAUCAUGAGGGAAAUAUGAGUUAUUAUUUUGGAGUUAUCCAAGUUAACAUUGUUGUAGGAAUAAUAACAAAACCAACCUUAUUUGUGGUCAUAACAUCCAAAGCAAACUAUAAUCUCUUUCUAGGGUGAUAUUGGAUACAUAGAGUAUGGGUGGUGCCAUCGACUCUACACCAAAGGAUUUCCAUAUGGCGGUCUGUAGUAUUGUUGAAAAUGUAGAGGCUGGCCAAAGUUACUUCUUGACCGAAGUCAACAAAGUAAAAAAGGACAUUUUACAAGAGGUUAGCCAAUAUUUCCCUUUGUAUACCUGCAGGAACAAGACUCUCUCUGGAGGGAGGUGUCUUUUAUUUUAUGAAAUUGUAUCAACCCAUGCUUUUAUGUGGGAGCAUGGAGUUAUGGGGGAUGAAGGUUUGACCACAACUACCGGGUUAUCGAUAGAUAACAAUGAUGACUUAGUGAGAUGCAUUACCUUAGAUUUCGGCCUAUGUGGCCGAAAGUAGAAUAGAGGCGGCCUUAGAGGAUGAUUUCCAACAAAGAGUGGUUGUUGAAGCCAAUAAAAUUAAAAGUAACAAUAAAACAGAAAUCAAUGGAAGUUCAAUUUCAGAAGGCCAUAGGCUUGACUGCAUCUAUGACGAUGAGCCUUUGGGAUUCAAAAAAUAUCCACUAACUUCAGGUAAAAGGAUAUAAGCCAAAUAUCCACUAGAGGAGAUUGAUUUAGGAGAUGAAGCAAUCAAAAAGCCAACUUACAUUAGUGCAAAGACUGAUCCAAGCCCGAAGGUCCAGAUGAUAAAAUUUAUUAAAGAGUUUAAAGACUAUUUCACCUGGGACUAUGAUGAAAUGCCAAGACUUAGACGAGAUCUGGUGGAGUUGAGAUUACCAAUUCGACAGACAAGAGGCCAGUGAAGAAGACGCCAAAAAGAUUUUCAUCAGAAGCAAUGUCAAAGAUCAAGGAAGAAAUUAAAGGCUUUUGAGAAACAUGUUCAUACAAACUUCCAGGUAUGUUAAAUGUUUAGCAAAUAUAGUUCCCGUCAUUAAAAAGAAUGGAACUCUUAAAGUUAGAAUAGACUUUAGAGACUUAAAUUUUGUUACCCCCAAAGAUGAAUAUCCAAUGCAUGUGGCAGAAAUGCUAGUCGAUUCAAUAGAAGGUUUUGAGUAUAUAAGUUUGUUAGAUGGUUAUUAUGGAUAUAAUAAAAUUCUAUUGCAGAAGAAGAUGUGUCGAAGACGACAUUUUGAUGUCAUAGGGCCUUAGGAACGUAUGAAUGAAUGGUAGUGCCUUUUGGCUUGAAGAAUGCUGAUGCAACUUAUCAAAGGGAAAUGAAUCAUAUGUUUUAUGAUUUCCUUGAAAACUUCAUGCAUGUGUCAUACCCCAAUUUUGUCCGGGCAUAUUUAAAUUUUUGUAAAAUCGAUUUCAUUUUUAAUUUGCAUCAUAUGCACAGCAUGACAUGCAUUCCAUCAUGAAUAAUAACUAAAAUAUCAAUCAGAAUAAUAUUUAAAUUUUUGUAAAAUCGAUUUCAUUUUUAAUUUGCAUCAUAUGCACAGCAUGACAUGCAUUCCAUCAUGAAUAAUAACUAAAAUAUCAAUCAGAAUAAAUUUAUUGAAAAUACAGACAAAUCGGUUGAAUCAUUUCCUCAAGUACGGACAAAAUCAGCGGGUAAAAAGUUUCAAAAUUAAAAUUACAGACACCAGUAUUAUUAAUCUACGGUUCACGUAGUUUAACCUGGUGUGCUCGUUAUAUUUUUCAGCGACUGUUUCGGUUGCAUUUUGACCUGCCUGAGCCUUUUAACCGGUGAAAAUUUAUUUCAGCAUUUGAAGAAACGCUGUAUUUUUUCAAUAAGUAUAUUUUGCACUGAUCAUUUUUAUACAUCCGAUUUAAUUUUUCGAGUAAAUUUUUGCCCGACUUUUAUUCAUUUUUAGUCGUUUUAAUUUUGUUAUUUCGUCAAAAUAGUCGUAUUGAAUAAAUAAAAUUUUCCAUGUUAUUAUUUUAAUUUUAUCAUGAUUAUUCAAAAGUUGUGAAUUUUAUUUGAUUUAAUUGAUUAAAAUUGUUUUAAAUUGAUUAAGUUAUCUAAAAACAACAUUAUAGGCAUUUUAAUUUAUUUAAAUAGUAUGUGCUUCUUGGUGUGUUUCUUUGAUUCGAUCCAGGCCAUCAAUUCGAAUUAAUCGGUGGCUAUUAUUAGCAAUCCACAUUUGUCUCAUUUAUCCAAUCAAAAAUUAGGAUUUAAUGUAUACUAUUAUUUAAGAAAAAUCUGAAAAUAAAUAAAAUAAAAUAAAAAAACUCUCUCUCUCUAAUACAUUACCUCCAACGGAUAUAAAAAUAAUAAUAAAAAAAGGAACGGUGACAUGAGUCAUCACCAACGUCUCUCUGCUUAAAUUCACAUACACCACUCACUCUCUCCAUAAAAAAAAAAGAAAAAAGGAAAAGAGAAAAGUUGUAUAGUUUUUCCUCCCCCACCUUCCUUCCUUCUUCGCCACCCACACAAAACGACAACCACCGCUGCUCCCCUUUCCACUUCCAUCAUUGCUAACACCUCCACGUAACCGUUCUCCGUCCGCAACCCAUCUUCAUCAUUCACCUCCACCGCAAAAACCCACACGCCGGCGGACUCAAACAACCACACAACACACAUCGCCGACAAAAAUCCUUCUCCAACCGCCGUGAUCUAAAGCCGACGAACACCACCGUCGCAACGCCCUUCUUCCGCUUCACCCUCACAAACCCUCCUUCUCCGAAUCUCCUUCGCCAACAAGAAAAAUCCGACCGCCGUACCACCACACACGCGACUCGCAUCUCCGAUCUACUUUUCCAUUUCGAUUUCAACUUCACCCUUUUCCACCAUCACAGUUUCACCAUUACAUACCCUUGAAACCACCUUCAAUCUAUUCAAUCUAUAUUGCUACUAGUUCGCUCACCUUCAUUUGCAUAUACUAGUUGUGGACCGGUCAUAAGCUUCAACUCGCAUCACUGCUCAUGAGAAGGAGAAAUAUCUAUUACUGUUAUGUGAACUCUAGUGCAGGUUAAAAAAAGCGGAGCGUAAGCAAGGAUUUGGCCUUUUAGAUGUUCGUAAAAAGCGGAAACCACAAUAGCACAUGACUUAAUUCUCUACAUCAAGGAGGCGGUGCGUGUUGGAUUCAAUUGAAGUUUCGGCGUGCCCAAUAUCGCAACAACAUUGACAUCAUUUGACAACGUUGGUAACACUUUGAAAGAUUAAUUUUUGUGAUUGAGUUUUUAAUUGUUAGAUUAGGUGUGAUUUAGUGAUGAACUGUGUUGUUGUCUUGUGAACCUUGCGAGCGUUCACGUAAUAGGUUGCUGUUUUCUUAAAACUUUUCUUAAAACUUCGAAAGGUGAAUUUUUCUUAACUGUGUUGGUAUCUUCUAACUUCGAAAGUUGCUAUUUUCUAAAAACUUUUCUGCGUUACCAUGUCGUAUUGAUGGUGCGGAGCUGCUAUUUUGCUUUUAUUUUCGCUGCCGGUAUAGCCGGGUUCAAUAGGUGGUUUUCACUCUGUUGAUUUUUCUUUCAGCAUAUUUAUGUAAUGUCAAAGUUUUUUUUAUGUCAUUUUCAUUCUGUGAGUUCUAUUUUUGAUGAAUGGUUUGCUGCUACAUUACUCUGUUACAUCUUGAAAUUGGUUUGUUUAGCUUUUUUUUUCUUUUUUUUCCGGUGAUAUUGUAGUAACCUUUGGUGAGCUGCUAUUUUUUCCAUUGCAUUUUGAAAACUGGGUUUGGUUUGCAGAGUCGACAUUAUUUAUAAGCCAGCAUACCGCAAAUUGUUUUUCUCUCUUCAGAUACGUUAGUGUAAAGUUGAUGCUUUUUUCUCUCUUCAGAUACGUUAGUGUAAAGUUGAUGCGUCCCUCCUGAGUUUCGGCCCACCUUUUUGCCUUUUCUAUUAUGCGCCUUAGCAGGCUUUGGUGGCCUUCCGGGCCCAUUUGUUUUCAUAUAUCUCCUUAUUUUAUUUUGGUUAGCAUACGUGUAAGUUGCUGAAUUUACUUGAUUUAAACAUGAGUUUUUUUUUAAAAAAACUUUAUUAUCAUAAUUUGUCUAAUAAUCAACUUAAUUAAUUAAUAUAUUUUAAAUAUAAUUUAGAUAAUUUAUCCACCCUCUUUUUAGAGAUCUGUACGAAGUAUUAUUUGUGCUUGAUUUUUCAUGUGUAUAAAUUGAUUGGUUUCACAUGAGUGGUAUGUUACAAAUCACGAUAAAUCAUUUCACAAUUCCAUCGGUUACUUAUGCCAUUUCCACUCUAAUCAAAUUAUUUAAUUAAUUAAAUUUUGUUUAGUUAGUUAAUUUGGAUUAAUUAAUUUUAAUUAACCUGAUUAUUUGAUCUAAUUAAAUAAUUUUGGUAAUUAAUUUUAAUUACCUUAAUUAGUCGAUUUAAUCGAAUUUUAAUAAAUUAAUAAUUAAAUAUUGAUUGAUUUCUUCCAUUAUCAUUUCAUAAUACACACUCGAUUUCAUUCAAUUUCAUCAUCAAUCCAAAACCACAAAUAAAUCGCACAAUUCUCGAUUCAAAGUUGAUCCCAUUUACAAACACCUUUGUAAGUCGAUUGUUUUUAAGCAUCGUCAUCAACCUCACAUAGCUUACUCUUGGGUUUUCUUACAAUGAGACCUAUUCGAUUUUAAUUAAUCGAGUAGAUGAUUGAUUCACUAAAUAAAAAUCCAAUUUAUCCGCAAAUACAAAUCCAAAUCUCGAUCUAAUGUCGAUUAUUUUUAUUCAAAUCAAAUUAAAAUACACAAUCAUAAUUGAGUACCCUUUCAUUUGGAAAUGAAAAGGGGAAUGGUUUUGAGUUUUCAAUUCCUCUCCUCGAUUAUUUGAAUACGAGUUCUCUUACUCGGUUAGUCAAAUAGUUGUCAUUUCUAUCCAUUUAAGCACAAUCAAACCGAAACAUUUUUGUAAUAAGAAAUGAAAAGGGAGAUGACUUUGAGUUUUCAACUUCUCUCCUCAACUGUUUGAAUACGAGUUCUCUUACUCGGUUAGUCAAAUAAUUGUCAUCUCUCUUAAAGACUUUCCUAACUCGUUUAAAUCAAACUAUUUCAUAAUAACGAAAUAAAAAAGAAGAUGACUUUGAGUCUUCAACUUCUCUCCCAAUUGUUUGAAUACGAGUUCUCUUACUCGGCCAGUCGAACAAUUGUCAUUUUUCCACCAACUUAUACUGUAAGUCAAAUCAUUUCAUAAUAAACUGUACGAAAAGGGAGAUGGUCUUGAGUUUUCAAUUCCUCUUCUCAAAUGCUUGGAUAUGAGUUGUCUUACUCAGUCAUUCAAGUACUUGUCGUUUAUUCUAAAAAUACAUCAACCAUACACAACCUUAUUUUCAUCACUACUAAGGACGAAAAAGAAAACGGUCUAGAGUCUUCUAUUCCCUUUUCCGAUUAUUAGGAUACGAGUUGUCUCACUCGGCUAUCCGAGUAUUCGUCAUCCAUUCAACAACACAUUAACUAUUAUCAAAACCUUUUAUAAUUAAGGAGGAAAAAGAAAGUGGUCUAGAG